CCUACGGGUGGCAGCAGUGGGGAAUAUUGGGCAAUGGGCGCAAGCCUGACCCAGCAACGCCGCGUGAAGGAAGAAGGCUUUCGGGUUGUAAACUUCUUUUCUCAGGGACGAAGCAAGUGACGGUACCUGAGGAAUAAGCCACGGCUAACUACGUGCCAGCAGCCGCGGUAAUACGUAGGUGGCAAGCGUUAUCCGGAUUUACUGGGUGUAAAGGGCGUGUAGGCGGGAAAUCAAGUCAGAUGUGAAAACCAUGGGCUCAACCUGUGGCCUGCAUUUGAAACUGUUUUUCUUGAGUACUGGGGAGGCAGACGGAAUUCCUAGUGUAGCGGUGAAAUGCGUAGAUAUUAGGAGGAAAACCAGUGGCGAAGGCGGUCUGCUGGACAGCAACUGACGCUGAGGCGCGAAAGCGUGGGGAGCAAACAGGAUUAGAUACCCCAGUAGUC
Molecule: ribosomal RNA, 443 nt
Filed under: uncultured bacterium
Lineage: Bacteria
Description: partial 16S ribosomal RNA
Rfam family: Bacterial small subunit ribosomal RNA
Source: RNAcentral